This is a long non-coding RNA of Myxocyprinus asiaticus (Chinese sucker), 389 nucleotides long. RefSeq lists it as uncharacterized. Lineage: Eukaryota; Metazoa; Chordata; Actinopteri; Cypriniformes; Catostomidae. The transcript has 2 exons. The record is from RefSeq and is a predicted model, not a curated record.
GAAAAUUCACUGAUUACCGAUAUGGUAGCCGAUAUAUUUAACUUUUGAGCUGGAAUGAAAACAGACAUUUUCUAUGUGGAUUUUUCACCGAUUUUGCAUCGAUAUGACUAUGCAAAGGUACUCAGAAGGCUGAUUUCUUAAACAAAUAGUUUUUAUCAAAGAAUAUUUGACAUUAUUAUUAUACAUUGUCAACAAAUUCUAGAAAUGAACACUGAGAAAAUAAAGAAUAAAUACAAAUACAAUAAAUAGCUAAAUAAACAUCAGUACUGUUUAGUAUCAGUCAAAUGCUGACCAUUAAAAAAAAAGAAUAAAAAAAGUAAAAAAAAAAUAAUAGCUAAAUAAACAUCAGUACUGUUUAGUAUCAGUCAAAUGCUGACCAUUAAAAUAAA